GAAGCGAGUGGCGAACGGCUGAGUAACACGUGGAGAACCUGCCCCCUCCCCCGGGAUAGCCGCCCGAAAGGACGGGUAAUACCGGAUACCCCGGGGUGCCGCAUGGCACCCCGGCUAAAGCCCCGACGGGAGGGGAUGGCUCCGCGGCCCAUCAGGUAGACGGCGGGGUGACGGCCCACCGUGCCGACAACGGGUAGCCGGGUUGAGAGACCGACCGGCCAGAUUGGGACUGAGACACGGCCCAGACUCC
RNAcentral lists this ribosomal RNA (250 nucleotides) under uncultured Collinsella sp. RNAcentral's name for it is "partial 16S ribosomal RNA". It matches the Rfam family "Bacterial small subunit ribosomal RNA", at positions 88 to 339 of the family's 1533-position model. The record is from RNAcentral. Lineage: Bacteria; Bacillati; Actinomycetota; Coriobacteriia; Coriobacteriales; Coriobacteriaceae.